Molecule: ribosomal RNA, 465 nt
Filed under: Vreelandella stevensii
Lineage: Bacteria; Pseudomonadati; Pseudomonadota; Gammaproteobacteria; Oceanospirillales; Halomonadaceae
Description: partial 16S ribosomal RNA
Rfam family: Bacterial small subunit ribosomal RNA
Source: RNAcentral
CCUACGGGGGGCAGCAGUGGGGAAUAUUGGACAAUGGGGGGAACCCUGAUCCAGCCAUGCCGCGUGUGUGAAGAAGGCCCUCGGGUUGUAAAGCACUUUCAGUGAGGAAGAACGCCUGGUGGUUAAUACCCAUCAGGAAAGACAUCACUCACAGAAGAAGCACCGGCUAACUCCGUGCCAGCAGCCGCGGUAAUACGGAGGGUGCGAGCGUUAAUCGGAAUUACUGGGCGUAAAGCGCGCGUAGGUGGCUUGAUAAGCCGGUUGUGAAAGCCCCGGGCUCAACCUGGGAACGGCAUCCGGAACUGUCAAGCUAGAGUGCAGGAGAGGAAGGUAGAAUUCCCGGUGUAGCGGUGAAAUGCGUAGAGAUCGGGAGGAAUACCAGUGGCGAAGGUGGCCUUCUGGACUGACACUGACACUGAGGUGCGAAAGCGUGGGUAGCAAACAGGAUUAGAUACCCGAGUAGUC